UUUUAGAGUUUGGAAUCUGGCUCAGAUUGAACGCUGGCGGCAGGCUUAACACAUGCAAGUCGAGCGGAGAGAGGUAGCUUGCUACUGAUCUUAGCGGCGGACGGGUGAGUAAUGCUUAGGAAUCUGCCUAUUAGUGGGGGACAACAUUUCGAAAGGAAUGCUAAUACCGCAUACGUCCUACGGGAGAAAGCAGGGGAUCUUCGGACCUUGCGCUAAUAGAUGAGCCUAAGUCGGAUUAGCUAGUUGGUGGGGUAAAGGCCUACCAAGGCGACGAUCUGUAGCGGGUCUGAGAGGAUGAUCCGCCACACUGGGACUGAGACACGGCCCAGACUCCUACGGGAGGCAGCAGUGGGGAAUAUUGGACAAUGGGCGCAAGCCUGAUCCAGCCAUGCCGCGUGUGUGAAGAAGGCCUUAUGGUUGUAAAGCACUUUAAGCGAGGAGGAGGCUACUUUAGUUAAUACCUAGAGAUAGUGGACGUUACUCGCAGAAUAAGCACCGGCUAACUCUGUGCCAGCAGCCGCGGUAAUACAGAGGGUGCAAGCGUUAAUCGGAUUUACUGGGCGUAAAGCGCGCGUAGGCGGCUAAUUAAGUCAAAUGUGAAAUCCCCGAGCUUAACUUGGGAAUUGCAUUCGAUACUGGUUAGCUAGAGUGUGGGAGAGGAUGGUAGAAUUCCAGGUGUAGCGGUGAAAUGCGUAGAGAUCUGGAGGAAUACCGAUGGCGAAGGCAGCCAUCUGGCCUAACACUGACGCUGAGGUGCGAAAGCAUGGGGAGCAAACAGGAUUAGAUACCCUGGUAGUCCAUGCCGUAAACGAUGUCUACUAGCCGUUGGGGCCUUUGAGGCUUUAGUGGCGCAGCUAACGCGAUAAGUAGACCGCCUGGGGAGUACGGUCGCAAGACUAAAACUCAAAUGAAUUGACGGGGGCCCGCACAAGCGGUGGAGCAUGUGGUUUAAUUCGAUGCAACGCGAAGAACCUUACCUGGCCUUGACAUAGUAAGAACUUUCCAGAGAUGGAUUGGUGCCUUCGGGAACUUACAUACAGGUGCUGCAUGGCUGUCGUCAGCUCGUGUCGUGAGAUGUUGGGUUAAGUCCCGCAACGAGCGCAACCCUUUUCCUUAUUUGCCAGCGAGUAAUGUCGGGAACUUUAAGGAUACUGCCAGUGACAAACUGGAGGAAGGCGGGGACGACGUCAAGUCAUCAUGGCCCUUACGGCCAGGGCUACACACGUGCUACAAUGGUCGGUACAAAGGGUUGCUACCUAGCGAUAGGAUGCUAAUCUCAAAAAGCCGAUCGUAGUCCGGAUUGGAGUCUGCAACUCGACUCCAUGAAGUCGGAAUCGCUAGUAAUCGCGGAUCAGAAUGCCGCGGUGAAUACGUUCCCGGGCCUUGUACACACCGCCCGUCACACCAUGGGGAGUUUGUUGCACCAGAAGUAGCUAGCCUAACUGCAAAGAGGGCGGUUACCACGGUGUGGCCGAUGACUGGGGUGAAGUCGUAACAGGGUUAACCCGUAAACUUA
Molecule: ribosomal RNA, 1516 nt
Filed under: Acinetobacter pittii
Lineage: Bacteria; Pseudomonadati; Pseudomonadota; Gammaproteobacteria; Moraxellales; Moraxellaceae
Description: bacterial SSU rRNA
Rfam family: Bacterial small subunit ribosomal RNA
Source: RNAcentral